CCCAACGCAUACAACCACUCAGCUCUGUUUACCCUCAGCGGAAAAUGUUUUUCUACUGGAAGAUUUCAACAGUUACAAGAACGUUUUACUUUGGAAAUUCAGCGAAGAGUGUAACAAUAAGAAGAAAAUCCGAUUUGGAAAAAAAUUGCAGCGACAGUAAACAGUGUCAAUCCCACCGUUGACAGAAGCAUCAAAGAAGUUCAGAAAAGAUAUACAAAUAUGGUACGAGACAAGACGCAAAGAAAGAAAUGUUUAAAAGAAGAAAUCAGGAGGAGGACCACAAAAAAAGCUUAAAGACACUACAGAAAUUGUAACGAAGAUGGGCAGUCGCCUUUUUUGGAGGAUAAAGACAGACAGUACGCGGGGUCAACAGCGGUGCCACUGAGGCUUCCCCAUCCACAUCGGCCAGCGUUGGCGCUGACAGCAGCCCACCAGCAGCCUCCCGAGAGGGACAGACAGAGACAAGUGACAGCCAAGAGAACACAGGAACACCUGGAACGGACAAAAUCUACCUUUCAUCACCAGAGGUUGAUAACAUCGGGCUUCAGAGAGGCCACGCUGACACAGGACAAAACAUACACAGCUGUCAGCAUUCCUGAUGGAGGGAGACAGGGAGGAGGAGAGAGGUGGACUGGACCCUCUGACAGUCAGAGGUGGAGGAGAAUGGAGCGAGAAAAAACAGACAGGUGACAUCAUCCAACUGUGCACAUGGCCAUUUGCCAAGUCGUGUCAAAUCCACAACCUUCACACCUCCUACGUACCGUGUCAGCAUGGAAAAGGACCUCUUUAAGUGAUCCUGUCACUAUAUCUCUUUCAUCUCCUGUUCGCUUUUUACAGCUGGCUUUAAGAUGCACACUCUUCAUUCUCAUUCGCUCCCCUUCAGUAGUCACUUUUUUUCCUUUUUUCCAUCUCUUUUCAGUGAUCUGUCUGCAUCUCUUUCCUCGCCUCCACUGCCACAUCUCUCUCCUUCCCUCUCUUUCUUUUCCUCUCCCACUCAGCUGACCCUGUGCAACUCCUCUGAUAUGACUCUUCCUUAAGCUCUCGCUCACCCUCAUCAGCCCGUCUUCCUCUUUCUCUCAGUCUCUCUCUCUCUUUCCUUGCUUUCAUCUGCCUGACGUCAGAGAGGAAAAAGAGACAGGCUCAGCCUCUCUGAUUGGUCAGAGAAGACAACACCCUCAGCCAAGGCUUACUGCCCUGAGUGGACGUUAGAGAAGUGUAACUUAAGUUCCACUGAAGAAUAAGUGUAGUGUUUGCACCUGCAAAGUGUGUUUCAUAUCAUAUGUGAGUGCAUACAGGUGCGCGUACACAUUUGUGUUUGUAUUAGUAUGUAUUUUAUGUUAAUCAAAUGAUCUGAGUGUGCGCUAUACCAAAGCAUUUAAGCAUGAAGAAUCAUUGUUGAAGCCAGGAGUGGUAGUUUGAUAAAAUAAUAAUAACUCAAGGUCAGCUGCAGAAACCAGCUCUCAACCACAUCUGACAGCCUUCAUCAGCGGAUGGAAUCAGCUCAGCUGUCAUCACAUAACAUAGUAUGAAACUAUGGUUGCUAUUAAACUAUAUUUAAUCAUAUAUAUAAUAUUAAUGUCACAGUUGUUGUAUCGAAAAAGACCAUUGUUUUUGCAAGUUUUAACUCGUUACUUGCUGCUGAGUAUUUAGCUUUAGAAUUUAUAAUGAAUCUUUUAUUACGUCUCAGCAGCAACUAAACCUCACUUUAUUUCUGUAUAGUCGGAAAAUUAAAUGAAAUGAAACACAUAUACGGACAUUCAUAACUUAAAGUUCCUCUCCAGACAGUUUUUUAAGCUAUGUAAAAAAUACUCUACUAUGAUUAAUUUUUUGUUUCACAUAGUUUUUCCCUCAUAAAAAGUAAAAAAAAAAAAAGAAAAGAGGUAAACAGGAGCUUGAAGCACAUCUGCUCUUACUUUCUCAUUGAGAAGUUCUGGAUCAGGCCUUGUGCCAGUGCGUAUCGAGAUGGUUAGUGAAGUAAACACCGCAGAGACUCAGCCACACGUUUGAGCCUCAGUCAGACCCAGACUCAGGAGUUUUUGAGGAGUGAGGAGUUUAUUGUUCAGCAGAUAUAUCAGAAAGGUUAGCGUAGUUACCGUCUUUUAUUUGUUUUGGUUGUUUGUUAGCUCACAACUGGCAGUGGUUGACACAGUGUUAGUGGUUGUGCUAAUGCAAACUCUCUUUCUCUGUACUGACAAGGUUUCGUGUUUAUUUUGCCCGCCCCCCUUCCCAGUAAGUUGACAGGUUUGGUUCCUCAGGUAUGACGUAUGAAGCCCUGGCUGUUUGAAUCCGUCUUAUGAGACAGUCACUCACUGCAAGAUGGAAACAUGCAGUCAUGGCAGUGACUGCUUAUUUCAGAGGGGGUCUUUAGAUAUUAAAAAAUAUUAAAGCAUCAUUCUGCUUUAUUACAGUAUUUUUUAUUAUCACUGCUGAUUAUUAUGUUUGGUGUGCACUGCGUUCCCUGACAACUGUAACUUUGACAAAAAUAAAUGCAUAGUUGAUGUUCACUGUGAUGGAUGGCACAGCGUAAGAAA
Long non-coding RNA from Seriola aureovittata, 2531 nucleotides. RefSeq lists it as uncharacterized. The transcript has 3 exons. NCBI's taxonomy places the organism in Eukaryota, Metazoa, Chordata, Actinopteri, Carangiformes, Carangidae. The record is from RefSeq and is a predicted model, not a curated record.